Molecule: transfer RNA, 76 nt
Filed under: Bacillus phage vB_BanS_Sophrita
Lineage: Duplodnaviria; Heunggongvirae; Uroviricota; Caudoviricetes
Description: tRNA-Trp
Rfam family: tRNA
About the family: Transfer RNA (tRNA) molecules are approximately 80 nucleotides in length. Their secondary structure includes four short double-helical elements and three loops (D, anti-codon, and T loops). Further hydrogen bonds mediate the characteristic L-shaped molecular structure. tRNAs have two regions of fundamental functional importance: the anti-codon, which is responsible for specific mRNA codon recognition, and the 3' end, to which the tRNAs corresponding amino acid is attached (by aminoacyl-tRNA synthetases). tRNAs cope with the degeneracy of the genetic code in two manners: having more than one tRNA (with a specific anti-codon) for a particular amino acid; and 'wobble' base-pairing, i.e. permitting non-standard base-pairing at the 3rd anti-codon position.
Source: RNAcentral
UGGGUGUUUAGUGUAGUGUUAGCACAGGAAGCUCCAAACUUUCUAGCGUGGGUUAGAUUCCUACAACACCUGCCAU